GUUCUCACUACUUGAGGACCUCUCUCUUCCCUGCUCUGAGAGACCCAGUACAGUGCAAUCACAGAUGCUGUUCAGCUAGAGACUGCAGCUAUUGGAUACUGGUCUUUGUCCACCCUUACUUUGCAAUUUCAGGGUAAUUCACUCUGUCCCAGUGCUAUGAACCUCAGGAGACAAUUCAGAGGGAGAGCCUUCCUCUCUGAUCCAGUGGCAUCAGUCGCCUGUUGCCCCAUCUAUGAUGGCUCCUGCCCUUGGGAGGCAAGGUCCUUCUUGUUCCUGUCACUGUGCUGAGUACACCAGGCUGCUGGGCCAUCACAUGGCCAUUUCUCCUGUCUCCAUCACGUCCCUUGGGAUAGGAGUUCCGGGGUUACAGACGCAUGCCACCCACCUGGCUUUUUACAUAGGUUCCAGUGAUCAGAUUGAGUCGUCAAGUUUGAAGUAACAGUGUUUUCAUCUGCAGGGCCACCUCCCUGGAGCUGACACAUACUGCUAGAUCUGUUAAUGCAUCCAAACUGUGGGUCUCAAUUAAUACAUCUCCCUACCAGCUACUCUUUAAUCAGAGACUAGGUAAUAGCAGUUUACAGAUUCAGCACCUUGGACAGAGCUAGUUCGUGCGUGCGUGCCUAUGUGGGUAUGGGUGUGUGUGCUCCCGGGAGUGCCCACGUUAGCACCUGCUAAUGUAAUCCGCAUUCUAAAACUACUAUUUGCAUCAAAUGUGUGACCCAUAUGAGAAAAUACUGCACUCCCCACUUGUCGCUCAGUGGUUCUGGCGAGAUUGCCAUAAAGAUUUUACAAGUCCAA
Molecule: non-coding RNA, 798 nt
Organism: Rattus norvegicus (Norway rat)
Lineage: Eukaryota; Metazoa; Chordata; Mammalia; Rodentia; Muridae
Source: RefSeq, a predicted model, not a curated record